This 935-nucleotide long non-coding RNA is filed under the name Homo sapiens (human). Its description in RNAcentral is "HSALNT0358792". The record is from RNAcentral. Lineage: Eukaryota; Metazoa; Chordata; Mammalia; Primates; Hominidae.
GCCCUCCGGCUGAGCCCUGAUCUCUAUGGUUUCCGCGGCUCGCUAGAAGGAGUGUGGUCCACCGGAGGACUCCCUACAUUCUUCCUCCAUUACCUCACUGCCUCCGGUGGCUGCUGGGAUACCGGAGGACUCGGGUCCCGGCUCGACUCAGUCCUCCAGCCGCCCGGGGAAUACCUCUAGUUCUUCCCGGCCGCCGCCGCCGCCGCCGCCCCGCCGCUUCCUCCUCCGCCUGCCGGCCUCCUUCGCCCCGUCCCGUCCGCGCAGCGCGUCCGGCCCGCCCGCAGGCCAGCUUCUCUCGGGAGCCCCCACCCAGGCGCAUGGCUCCAUGAAGCAAGAGGAGGAGGCAGAGCGCGAGAGGUCCCGUCCGCCCCAGCCGCGUCUGGGCCAGGAUAAAAGCAAAACCAUAUUCCUGCUGCUGUCAGUUAUGAUGCACUGAGAAAACUUCAGAGACCUAAACUUUUUCCAGAGAAGAGAAGCUUUACUGGUGUUCCAGCCCUAAGAAACCUUUGUUCAAGAAAACGGCAGAUGCUCUGUUGAAUCCACUGGAGAUUGUUCUGAUACUAAGGACAAGUAUCAACCAUCUUUCCUGUGAAAAAUUCCCUCUCGUACUUUAGUUCUGUGGAUCCAAAAUUUAUAGCAUUCUUCUACCACCACAGGGGCUCAUAUGACAUUAACAGACAAGACACUUUUCAGAAAGACAGGCAACGUGUUGGACCUUCCGGAGCUUCUCAGAAGACAGAGGGUUUUCUUUUGAGAUACUAUUUCAACAAAUUAGCCCAGUUUUGAUUUGGAUGGCAAGACUCAAAGACAACAACAACAAUAAAAUCACAACUUGAUUUAAAAGUUAAAUUCAAUAAACUGUAGAAGCAGCAUAUUAGUCUGUUCUUACACUGCUAAUGAAGACAUACCUGAGACUAGGUAAUGUAUAAAGGAAA